UUUAAUUUUAGACAUUUACGUACCUAAAGUUCCAACAUGUAACGUUGAGGAGAGUUUAUUGGCAGAAAAUCUAGCUUGUAUUGGAGUAUUAGCACUUCAAAAACAAAUCCUUUGGUUUUCAUAACCUUGGAAUAAAUCUUUAAAAUGUGCUUUACGCAAGGGCCUUGCUUCACGGAGGCCGCCAACUUGAGCAGCCAUGUUUUCUACAGAGGCCCGAACAGACAAACAAGCCAAAUUUAAGCCUUGCUAUCCCUUUGCCGUUUCCAGUACAGCUCAGCUAGUGACAGCCAAAAUGGAAAUGAGCCAAAAUGGCUGCUGUGGAAAGAACGCAUUAUCUGGCGACGCUCAGUGGGUUCGGGCUCCCUAUGUUGAGAAUCACUGCUAUAGUAGGUCAUAUGAGGGGAGAGGGUUGCUCUACUGAAGAAAGGGAGGAGGAGGCGGGCUAAGAGCAGGUCUUCUUGGGCGGGGUUUCCCCUCUUAUUUCAAGUCCGCACAGUAGAGGAGUGAAACGGGAGCGAGGACGGAGAGAAGCAGCGGCUGACUCUACUGGAAUGUCGCGGCAAAGGAGGAUGAAGGAGGAGUCUUGCAUGUGCCAGGUCUAAUAAUUUGGUGUGUACAGGAAAAAGUCGAUAUCCAGUGUGGAUUUGCAUAGUUUUUGACCACCCCGAGCACAGUGGGCUGUGCAGAAAGCAUGUAGGUCAACUGUGCUGUUGCUAUGAGGGGAGGAGUGACGUGGCUCCUGCUGCCCACAGAGGUAUCCUACUAAAUAUCGGGUCUGAUACACACACACACACACACACACACACACACACUGGCUUUAUGGCUCUCCUCUGACUUCCUUUGUUGAUAAUGCUGCAUACAUUCAGACACCGAGGUGGAGAGCACAUGCUCCUCCUGCAUCCAAACGCCUCGUCCGUGCUGAGUUUGGAGUGUGAAUGUGUGUCAAUGCUGUUCACCUAAUUAUCUGAUCAUCAUUAUUAUUAUUAUUAUUGUUAUUUUUAUUAUCAUUAUGCCAAACGUGGACACUGAGACUCAGAAAUGUUACACGCCGCAUGACUGAACCUCCACAGCUGUGGUGUUGGUGAUGAGGCUCAUGCAUUGUUGUGAGUUAACCUCUGAAAUCCUCUCUCCACUGCUCAACAGCAGCUGGCUGCUCUGUUUUACACUAUUAUGGCCAGUCAAGGGUUUCAUGAUGGGGUGGCAACUGUAACGCAUUAUGGGCUUUGAUUGGCUGUCGGUGCCAGCCAGCGUUAGGCUGAUGAAAGGCUGCAGACUCAUGUUCAGACCCCCAGCCCGGAUGAGAGCGCGUCGCUUGCUGAGUGACUGGCUGACGAUUUAAUCCUGUAUUUGACCUUCCAAGGAUACUCCCGUUAAAUAUUUAUGACUUCACACUUGACAGCACGUUAGGCAGAGUUCAGUCUGAGCCAUGAUUCUGUCCACAAGCGAUUGUCCCGGUGUUACACAAUAAAUUCUACUCCGGCUACUCACUGUAGCGGAAGGCGUAGGUUGAAAGGAGUGAGUUGUUCUUGUUUGCAGAAGCAGCUGACUGGUAAACAAACCACAGAGAGGACUUUUUAGUGAUAUCGUCAAGUCUGUUCAGGUCUGUUUUAAAUCUAUUCAAAUGUGUGGUAAGAAAGACGCAUUACCCGGCCGAUGGAGCAGCAAGCAGAGCAGAGGUAGCUCACAUCCUCCUCAUCCAUCUUGUGUCAAAGGUCUUAUUUGAGCCGAGCCACAGAUAAAUCAUUCUUGAAGCAGCCAAAGCCCCAGAGCAGUAAAUUAGAGCCCUCUGUGGAAAAAUAUGUCCACUCAUGUGGGCAUCACAUCUGCUCUGAGGCAGCCGCACCUUCACCAGGACAGAUACACCUGUGUGUGUGUGUGUGUCUCCGGAGAAUAAAACACCACAAUUUAACAUCAAAUAUGAAAGUAAACACUAGUGGCUGACAAUGAUUUUCAUUAUUGAUGAAUAUGCCAAUGGCUUAAUGAUUUAAUUGAUACAGAAUGAUUGUGCCUCCAUCCACAAGCCACUGAGCGAUGGACUAGAUUAGGACUAGAUUAGAUUCCUUUAUUGUCACUGUACCAUGAGAUGUUAUUUUGGAACAGUCAACAUCAGCAGAUGCUGAGUUUAAGGUUUAAGAUAAAUACAAUAUAAUGUAGAUACUAUGCACUCUAUAAAUACUAUAAAACCUUCACAAUUGCUAUAUCUCAACCCCACAGAGCACCUAUGUAAGAUUUAGGACUAACUCUUUAACAUCGCUUUAAUCAAAGUACCAAAUUGUGGAUUAUUUUUGAGAAGAAUAGUAGUUUCCAUUGCUUUAUUCGAGACCACAGACUUUAUAAGAAUAAGUAAAAAUGUCCCAGAAUCAGUUCUGUGAGCAGAAAGACACUUAAUGCUAGUCUUUGUUUUACUUCUUCACACGUCUGUGGUUUUUUGACAUGGAAUUCUUCUACAACUGUUAUAAUUAGUCAUUUAUCCUUUUUGUUUCCAAGCAAAAUCAAUCAAUCAAUCAAUCAAUGUUGGCCUCAGCUCUCCCAUGAUGCACUGCGAUAACACAGCGCCACCCUUACAAGUAAAAAAAAAGAGAUGAGCGUCUUGUGGCGAGCCCACUCAGCAUCUCCCACAGAUCUCUCCUCAGGUCGGGUGGGAGUGUUGCAACCAUGGAAAAAACAAGCCGCCACCUACAGGAACGACUGAAUCAUCACUGUCAUCGUCCAAUCUGAACCGCACACACACACACACAUACACGCACGCACAGAGGGAGGGAGGGGUGUUGUGCCAGAUCAGGACACACACAGUCCUGGCCUUUGGGGACCAGAUGUCCCUUCAGCCCCUGUAGAGGAUCCCGGGUGUGAGACUCCUACAAUAACAUAACAAUAUGCUCCUCUGAGUAUGUGUUAAGGAAUGUAGGAUUGUGUGUUUAUGUGUUUUACAUAUGUAAAACCUAAUCUGUUCAUGGGAUUAUAAGAAUAAAAGUCAUUAUUCACAGUU
Molecule: long non-coding RNA, 2986 nt
Organism: Solea senegalensis (Senegalese sole)
Lineage: Eukaryota; Metazoa; Chordata; Actinopteri; Pleuronectiformes; Soleidae
Exons: 2
Source: RefSeq, a predicted model, not a curated record